AAGUAGCCCAUUCAAUCUGAUCAAUCUACUCCCUGGGGAGGUUGGAAAUCAAAUGAUGUGUACAACAAUUCAGGAUGUUGUUUGAAUUACUUGUCCUAACUGGUGCACAAGUUGGGAUGGAUUGGACUUCUAUCUUGAGAAAACGCCAUGAUUUCAGGGCUGCUUUCACCGGGUUUGAUGCAGAAAUCGUUGCCAACUUCACAAAAAGACAAAUAGCAUCAAUGGCCACAGAUUACAACUUGGAUUUAAACACGGUUCGAGGUGCCGUCAACAAUACUAACAGAAUCCUCCGGGUUAGAUUGUUGAUUGGACUUGAUUUUAUUUAAAUGAUCUUAAUAAUCCAUUUUAUUUAAAUGAGUAGACCCGGAUGUGCGUCGGAGCUAUC
Long non-coding RNA from Magnolia sinica, 385 nucleotides. RefSeq lists it as uncharacterized. Lineage: Eukaryota; Viridiplantae; Streptophyta; Magnoliopsida; Magnoliales; Magnoliaceae. The record is from RefSeq and is a predicted model, not a curated record. The transcript is spliced from 3 exons.